AAACAGUUUACAUCAAAUACAAGGGAAAAGAGUCAAAGGUGGCUUAUUGGAUAGAAAGCUGGCCUCAAACACAGGUAGACCUCGAUUCAAGUCCUGACUCUGACAUAGACUGCUGUGUGACCUUGGGAGCUGCCUGUGUAUCCUACUGUAUGGCAUGAUGAAGUAAAUUGAAGCUCUAAGAACAGAUGUACUGAAGUGCUUCAAGAAGAUACCAGAUAGACAACUAAUGUUGCUACUGAUGAUGGUGAUGAUGAAGAGGAGGAAGGGGAACAGGAGAAAGGAAAUAAAGAGAAGAAAGAAGACAAAGAAAGAGAGAAGAGAACAAGGAGUAGGACAGGA
This is a long non-coding RNA of Dromiciops gliroides (monito del monte), 339 nucleotides long. RefSeq lists it as uncharacterized. The record is from RefSeq and is a predicted model, not a curated record. The transcript is spliced from 3 exons. NCBI's taxonomy places the organism in Eukaryota, Metazoa, Chordata, Mammalia, Microbiotheria, Microbiotheriidae.